AAGAGACAGCGAUGGCGGCAGAACCUUCGAAGGCUGGGUCUGCCCGGUCUUCCUACCAGCAGAUGGGGAGGAAGAGUCAGCCCUGGGGGACCACUGAAAUCCAGUGCACCGGGUGUGGAAGGAGGGUGUCCAGAGCAUCCGGUCACCAUUAUGGACUUCAAUGUGGACAUGCUUUAUGCGAACUGUGCUUGUUAAUAAAUGAAGAAUGCACUACAAUUAUAUGCCCUGAUUGUGAGGUUGCUACAGCUGUGAAUACUAGACAAGGCUACUACCCAAUGGCUGGAUGUUUUAAAGAAGACCUUGUAAUGGAAAAACUGCAGCCUAAGACGUAUGUCCCAUGUGUAUUUAUUUGAAUAUUUAGAGUCAGUGUGUUAC
Molecule: long non-coding RNA, 375 nt
Filed under: Aotus nancymaae (Ma's night monkey)
Lineage: Eukaryota; Metazoa; Chordata; Mammalia; Primates; Aotidae
Description: lncRNA (ENSANAG00000039234.1)
Source: RNAcentral